GACGAACGCUGGCGGCGUGCUUAACACAUGCAAGUCGAACGGAAAGGCCCUGCUUGCAGGGUAUUAGAGUGGCGAACGGGUGAGUAACACGUGGGUGCACCGCCCUGUACUUCGGGAUAAGCCUUGGCAAAUGGGUAUAUAACCGGAUAGGAGACACUAUUUGUGUGAGGGUUGGAAAGUUUUUUCGGUGUAGGAUGAGCUGGCGGCCUAUCAGCUUGUUGGUGGGGUAAUGGCCUACCAAGGCGACGACGUGUAGCCGGACUGUGAGGGUGGACGGCCACACUGGGACUUAGGUGCGGCCCAGGCGCCGACGAGAGGCAGCAGUGGGGUAUAUUGCACAAGCGACGCCAGCCUGAUGCAGCGACGCUGCGUGUGGGAUGACGGCCUUCGGGUUGUAGACACCUUUCGCUAGAGACGAAGCUUUUUGUGACGGUACCUAGAGAAGAAGCACCGGCUAACUACGUG
RNAcentral lists this ribosomal RNA (465 nucleotides) under uncultured bacterium. RNAcentral's name for it is "partial 16S ribosomal RNA". It matches the Rfam family "Bacterial small subunit ribosomal RNA", at positions 28 to 507 of the family's 1533-position model. The record is from RNAcentral.